This 1719-nucleotide ribosomal RNA is filed under the name metagenome. Its description in RNAcentral is "bacterial LSU rRNA". It matches the Rfam family "Bacterial large subunit ribosomal RNA", at positions 548 to 2125 of the family's 2925-position model. The record is from RNAcentral.
UCCUGAAACCGUGUGCCUACAAUCCGUCGGAGCCUCCUUGUGGGGUGACGGCGUGCCUUUUGAAGAAUGAGCCUGCGAGUUAGUGCUCGGUGGCGAGGUUAACCCGUGUGGGGAAGCCGUAGCGAAAGCGAGUCCGAAUAGGGCGAAUGAGUCGCCGGGUCUAGACCCGAAGCGGAGUGAUCUACCCAUGGCCAGGUUGAAGCGCAGGUAAGACUGCGUGGAGGACCGAACCCACUUAGGUUGAAAACUGAGGGGAUGAGCUGUGGGUAGGGGUGAAAGGCCAAUCAAACUCCGUGAUAGCUGGUUCUCCCCGAAAUGCAUUUAGGUGCAGCGUCACGUGUUUCUUACCGGAGGUAGAGCUACUGGAUAGCCGAUGGGCCUCACCAGGUUACUGACGUUAGCCAAACUCCGAAUGCCGGUAAGUGAGAGCGUGGCAGUGAGACUGCGGGGGAUAAGCUCCGUAGUCGAGAGGGAAACAGCCCAGAUCACCAGCUAAGGUCCCUAAGCGUGUGCUAAGUGGGAAAGGAUGUGGAGUUGCAUUGACAACCAGGAGGUUGGCUUAGAAGCAGCCACCCUUUAAAGAGUGCGUAAUAGCUCACUGGUCAAGUGAUUCCGCGCCGACAAUGUAGCGGGGCUCAGGCACACCACCGAAGCUGUGGCAUUGACACAUAGCCCGGCCGUGAUAUCUGAGGACUCACGGUCCAAGCGUGUUGAUGGGUAGGGGAGCGUCGUGUAGCCAGGGAAGCGGCGGAGUGAUCCAGCCGUGGAGGCUACACGAGUGAGAAUGCAGGCAUGAGUAGCGAAUGACGGGCGAGAAACCCGUCCGCCGAAUAACCAAGGGUUCCAGGGUCAAGCUAAUCUGCCCUGGGUAAGUCGGGACCUAAGGCGAGGCCGACAGGCGUAGUCGAUGGACAUCCGGUUGAUAUUCCGGAACCGGCGAAGAACCGCCCAUACCGAACCACGUAAUGCUAAGCGCCUGAAGGGCUGGUGAGUCUUCGGACAAUCCGGCCUGGAGCGCGCGACCCGAGCGUGUAGUAGGUAAGCGAUGGAGGGACGCAGGAAGGUAGCCGAACCGCGGCGAUGGUAGACCGCGGGUAAGGAUGUAGGGCGAGGUGUAGGCAAAUCCGCACCUCAUAUGCCUGAGAUCUGAUACGGACGCAUUAGCGGAAGUCGGUAAUCCUAUGCUGCCAAGAAAAUCUUCUAGCGAGGUUCGAGCCGCCCGUACCCCAAACCGACUCAGGUGGUUAGGUAGAGAAUACCAAGGCGAUCGAGUGAGUCGUGGUUAAGGAACUCGGCAAAAUACCCCCGUAACUUCAGGAGAAGGGGGGCCCAGAGGGUGACGGAGACUAGCGCUCCUGAGCCUGAACGGCCGCAGAGACCAGGGAGAAGCGACUGUUUACUAAAAACACAGGUCCGUGCCAAGUCGCAAGACGAUGUAUACGGACUGACGCCUGCCCGGUGCUGGAACGUUAAGGGGACCGGUUAGCCUCACGGCGAAGCUGAGAACUUAAGCGCCAGUAAACGGCGGUGGUAACUAUAACCAUCCUAAGGUAGCGAAAUUCCUUGUCGGGUAAGUUCCGACCUGCACGAAUGGCGUAACGACUUCUCCACUGUCUCAACCACGAACUCGGCGAAAUUGCACUACGAGUAAAGAUGCUCGUUACGCGCAGAAGGACGGAAAGACCCCGGGACCUUUACUACAGCUUGGUAUUGGUGUUU